Molecule: ribosomal RNA, 483 nt
Filed under: uncultured bacterium
Lineage: Bacteria
Description: partial 16S ribosomal RNA
Rfam family: Bacterial small subunit ribosomal RNA
Source: RNAcentral
GACGAACGCUGGCGGCGUGCUUAACACAUGCAAGUCGAACGCUGAAGCUCAGCUUUUGUUGGGUGGAUGAGUGGCGAGCGGGUGAGUAACACGUGAGUAACCUGCCCCCUUCUUUGGGAUAACGCCCGGAAACGGGUGCUAAUACUGGAUAUUCACUGGUCUUCGCAUGGGGGUUGGUGGAAAGGGUUUUUCUGGUGGGGGAUGGGCUCGCGGCCUAUCAGCUUGUUGGUGGGGUGAUGGCCUACCAAGGCUUUGACGGGUAGCCGGCCUGAGAGGGUGACCGGUCACAUUGGGACUGAGAUACGGCCCAGACUCCUACGGGGGGCAGCAGUGGGGAAUAUUGCACAAUGGGCGCAAGCCUGAUGCAGCGACGCCGCGUGAGGGAUGGAGGCCUUCGGGUUGUGAACCUCUUUCGCUCAUGGUCAAGCCGCAACAAUGGUUGUGGUGAGGGUAGUGGGUAAAGAAGCGCCGGCUAACUACGUG